This 274-nucleotide ribosomal RNA is filed under the name uncultured bacterium. RNAcentral describes it as "partial 16S ribosomal RNA". It matches the Rfam family "Archaeal small subunit ribosomal RNA", at positions 473 to 747 of the family's 1478-position model. The record is from RNAcentral.
AAACCAGCACCUCAAGUGGUCAGGAUGAUUAUUGGGCCUAAAGCAUCCGUAGCCGGCUCUGUAAGUUUUCGGUUAAAUCUGUACGCUCAACGUACAGGCUGCCGGAAAUACUGCAGAGCUAGGGAGUGGGAGAGGUAGACGGUACUCGGGAGGAAGGGGUAAAAUCCUUUGAUCUCUCGAUGACCACCUGUGGCGAAGGCGGUCUACCAGAACAUGUCCGACGGUGAGGGAUGAAAGCUGGGGGAGCAAACCGGAUUAGAAACCCCGGUAGUCC